This 741-nucleotide long non-coding RNA is filed under the name Cyanistes caeruleus (blue tit). RNAcentral's name for it is "lncRNA (ENSCCEG00000004481.1)". Lineage: Eukaryota; Metazoa; Chordata; Aves; Passeriformes; Paridae. The record is from RNAcentral.
CACUAGUCUGUCUUCAGGUUGCAAAAGCUGUAAUAACAAGCUACUAAAAAUAAUACAGAGCUUGAUUUAUACCCACCAAAGCAAAGAAAUUCAGAGCUACCCUGACAGUAUUGUCCUUUGCCAUCCCCAGCCAUUUAAAAUACUGCAGUAAAAAGGAUUAUUAGGUUGUGGACUGGGAGUUUUACAGCCACGAGGGAGGCUGGGCUCAAUCCCCAGCGAAUCCUUACUGUGAACUCAUAAUUGUGCUGCAGGAGGGCACCGAGUACAUUCUGUCCUGGUCAAAUUAAAGGUGGUAAUUCAACAUUUCCCUGCCACAUCAGCAGGCCUCUUGCAGCCAGUGGUUAACUGCUGACUUCAGUCAGAAAUGUGUUGGCAGUGAGGUGACCUGGCACUCCAAAAGUCCUGCUAGACCUGUGCUCACAGAAAAAUCUCCAGUUUGCUCUCUGCAGCUUCUGUCCUGCAGUUCUCCAACACAUAAACCAAGGCAUUUUGGAGGUCAGAAAAUAUCCUCAGAGCACAGUCCAGGACUGGCUGUGUGCUUGCAUCUGUAGUAAGAGGUGUUUUUUGCAGUCAAAGAAAGGCAGAUAUUCAAAUGCUUCCUUGCAAGAAAUAUUCCAAACACCUUGUUAAAAUGUGACCAGAGCAGCGACUCCCUCCUGAGCAAAGACCUCCGUGUUUUGUUUAAGCAUGAGAGAAUUUUGGAUGGCUGAAUGAACUGCUGGAAAGCAGCAAAAAAAACAC